CCCUUAGAUGUUCUGGGCUGCACGCGCGCUACACUGAAGCGUUCAACGAGUAUUCACCUUGCCCGGGAGGGUUGGGUAAUCUUUUGAAAACGCUUCGUGAUGGGGAUAGAUUAUUGCAAUUAUUAAUCUUCAACGAGGAAUUCCUAGUAAGCGCGAGUCAUCAGCUCGCGUUGAUUACGUCCCUGCCCUUUGUACACACCGCCCGUCGCUCCUACCGAUUGAAUGGUCCGGUGAAAUGUUCGGACCGCGACAAGGCGGACGGUUCGCUGUCAGCUUUGCUGCGGGAAGUUCAUUAAACCUUAUCAUUUAGAGGAAGGAGAAGUCGUANCA
This 330-nucleotide ribosomal RNA is filed under the name uncultured eukaryote. Its description in RNAcentral is "partial 18S ribosomal RNA". It matches the Rfam family "Eukaryotic small subunit ribosomal RNA", at positions 1470 to 1796 of the family's 1831-position model. The record is from RNAcentral.